Molecule: ribosomal RNA, 254 nt
Filed under: uncultured bacterium
Lineage: Bacteria
Description: partial 16S ribosomal RNA
Rfam family: Bacterial small subunit ribosomal RNA
Source: RNAcentral
UACGUAGGGGGCGAGCGUUGUCCGGAUUUAUUGGGCGUAAAGAGCUCGUAGGCGGUUUGGUAAGUUGGAUGUGAAAUCUCCAGGCUCAACUUGGAGGGGUCAUUCGAUGCUGCCAUGACUAGAGUUCGGUAGGGGAGUGUGGAAUUCCUGGUGGAGCGGUGAAAUGCGCAGAUAUCAGGAGGAACACCCGUAGCGAAGGCGGCACUCUGGGCCGGAACUGACGCUGAGGAGCGAAAGCGUGGGGAGCGAACAGG